RNAcentral lists this ribosomal RNA (492 nucleotides) under uncultured bacterium. Its description in RNAcentral is "partial 16S ribosomal RNA". It matches the Rfam family "Bacterial small subunit ribosomal RNA", at positions 29 to 507 of the family's 1533-position model. The record is from RNAcentral.
AUUGAACGCUGGCGGCAUGCUUUACACAUGCAAGUCGAACGGUAACAGGCCUUCGGGUGCUGACGAGUGGCGAACGGGUGAGUAAUGCAUCGGAACGUACCCAGAGGUGGGGGAUAACGCAGCGAAAGCUGUGCUAAUACCGCAUGUGAUCUGAGGAUGAAAGCGGGGGACCGAGCAGCAAUGUUUGGCCUCGCGCCUUUGGAGCGGCCGAUGUCGGAUUAGCUAGUUGGUGGGGUAAAGGCCUACCAAGGCGACGAUCCGUAGCUGGUCUGAGAGGACGAGCAGCCACACUGGAACUGAGACACGGCCCAGACUCCUACGGGAGGCAGCAGUGGGGAAUUUUGGACAAUGGGCGCAAGCCUGAUCCAGCAAUGCCGCGUGAGGGAAGAAGGCCUUCGGGUUGUAAAACGCUUUUGGCAGGAACGAAACGGUGUCCGCUAAUACCGGGCGCUAAUGACGGUACCUGCAGAAUAAGCACCGGCUAACUACGUG